UUCUUCCUUCUUCUUCUCUUUCUUCUGUUUCUUUCCUUCCCCUGUUCUUCUUCUUCUGCGAGUGAUUAAGAGUUCAAUAGAGAGCUUUGUGAUCGGUAGGAGGUGUAGAAGAUCAUGGAGUGUUUGAUAGAGAUGGUGUUGUUGUAUGUUAUUGAUUCAGACUCGAAGGAGAAAGUAAAUUAGAAGAUGUAGUUUCUGAAGUUAGGAUUGGUGUGGAGUUAUUGAUGAUAUGGUGUUGUUAAAGGAUAAAGAAAACUGGAUUGUUGUUUAAUUGGAGUUGUAGUGAUGUUUUUAGUUUUAAUUUGAGAUUGAAGAUAAUUAGGGUUUCAUGAGAAUUGCAGAAGAGGAUGAGAAGAUGAAAUUGAAGGUCUAAAGAAGUGAUUUGAGAUGGGUUUACGUUUAAUUGAGUUAUGGAGUUACUUUGAAUGAAGGAAUGAAGAAUUAGGGUUCUUGGGUUUGGAAUUUAGUUGAGGAAGAUGAGUUUAGAUGAUGAAAUUGAUGUUUUUAGAAGAUUGAUUUGAGAUGGCUUUUAACAGUUUGAGUGAAUUAGGGUUUGGAUGAAGAGUAAUUAGAAAUUGAAGAAGUCGGGGUUUUGAAGCUGAGAUCUAUUGAAGCUCAUGGAUGAAGUCGUUAACAGAGUAAGGGUUUGAUUGUGUUAGUGAGAAGGUGAUGAAGCUUUUGUUGGGGUGAAACUGAAUUAAGGUAAUCAUCUUCUCAUUUGAAUUAUCAUGUGUUGUUGAGGUUUAGGUUGUGCUGAACUUUAAGAAUGAUAUGUAUUAGAAUUUUGCAGGGGUUGAGCUUUAUGAAUUUAAAUGGAUAUGUUGGGUAUGUGCUUGAGCUGUAUAUUAGUUUGGUUUGUGCUAAAUCACAUGGAGAAGUAAAAUGGAAGCAAUAGUGAAGUGUUUGUGUAGAUGGUAGUAUUGAACUGGAGCUGAAUUCAAGAGUUGGUGGAUAUUGAAAUGGUUUUGCAGAUGAUUGUGUUUGUUAAGAAAGAGAAGUGGAGAUGAUGUUGAACUAGUUGAAUGAUUGUUAAGUUGCAGGGAAGAGUUGCACCAGUAAUGGUAUGGGUUUGAUCAGAUUAUGGAUGAGAAUGAAGGUUCUGGGAUAGAAAUAUUGUUGUGGCUAAUGGAGCUGGUGGAGAAGGGUUUGAUUUAUGUCAGUAGAGUAAUGGGUUUACUUGUUAUUGUGAAAGUUUGGUGGUGAUGCUGUCAAGAUAUGGGAGAUGGAUUAUGAGUUUUGUACUUGAUCUAAACUGAAGUUGUUGAUUGAUGCAGUGAGUGUUUGAAGAUAUUGCAGAUGGACAAUGUUGUCUAAGUUGAAGCUUAGAUGUAAGAAUUACUGGAUUUGUGAAUUGUUAUAGGCAUAGUGACUUGGGAGAAAAAGAGUAGUUGUAUCGUUAUUUAGCAGUGGCCUUUAUGGAAGCCUGCAACUGCAAAUCAAGGAUGAACCAGUGGAUCGUGGAUCUCGAGGUAGGCGUGGCUUGUCAUGAAAAUAGUUUCAGAGACGGAUCAGAGUUGCGCAGCGGAAGCUUCGAAGAGUUGAUUUCAUUAGUUGGAUAACUUCUAUUAUGUUUAAUAUAUUGCAUAUUGUAUCCGUAAACCUAAUGACUAUUGUAUAUGUAUCAUUUGAGAGGACUUCUUGUAUAUAUAUGUUUCAGAGCGGGUUAGUUUUGGGUUAAGUUUUGUAGCACAUUUCUUAGUUGAAUGAUUAAGUAUAUGAUUUAGA
Papaver somniferum (opium poppy) is the source of this 1725-nucleotide long non-coding RNA. RefSeq lists it as uncharacterized. The transcript is spliced from 3 exons. The record is from RefSeq and is a predicted model, not a curated record. NCBI's taxonomy places the organism in Eukaryota, Viridiplantae, Streptophyta, Magnoliopsida, Ranunculales, Papaveraceae.